UAGAGUUUGAUCCUGGCUCAGGAUGAACGCUAGCUACAGGCUUAACACAUGCAAGUCGAGGGGAAACGACAUCGAAAGCUUGCUUUUGAUGGGCGUCGACCGGCGCACGGGUGAGUAACGCGUAUCCAACCUGCCCACCACUUGGGGAUAACCUUGCGAAAGUAAGACUAAUACCCAAUGACGUCUCUAGAAGACAUCUGAAAGAGAUUAAAGAUUUAUCGGUGAUGGAUGGGGAUGCGUCUGAUUAGCUUGUUGGCGGGGUAACGGCCCACCAAGGCAACGAUCAGUAGGGGUUCUGAGAGGAAGGUCCCCCACAUUGGAACUGAGACACGGUCCAAACUCCUACGGGAGGCAGCAGUGAGGAAUAUUGGUCAAUGGACGAGAGUCUGAACCAGCCAAGUAGCGUGCAGGAUGACGGCCCUAUGGGUUGUAAACUGCUUUUAUAAGGGAAUAAAGUGAGUCUCGUGAGACUUUUUGCAUGUACCUUAUGAAUAAGGACCGGCUAAUUCCGUGCCAGCAGCCGCGGUAAUACGGAAGGUCCGGGCGUUAUCCGGAUUUAUUGGGUUUAAAGGGAGCGUAGGCCGGAGAUUAAGCGUGUUGUGAAAUGUAGAUGCUCAACAUCUGCACUGCAGCGCGAACUGGUUUCCUUGAGUACGCACAAAGUGGGCGGAAUUCGUGGUGUAGCGGUGAAAUGCUUAGAUAUCACGAAGAACUCCGAUUGCGAAGGCAGCUCACUGGAGCGCAACUGACGCUGAAGCUCGAAAGUGCGGGUAUCGAACAGGAUUAGAUACCCUGGUAGUCCGCACGGUAAACGAUGGAUGCCCGCUGUUGGUCUGAAUAGGUCAGCGGCCAAGCGAAAGCAUUAAGCAUCCCACCUGGGGAGUACGCCGGCAACGGUGAAACUCA
This 906-nucleotide ribosomal RNA is filed under the name uncultured bacterium. RNAcentral describes it as "bacterial SSU rRNA". It matches the Rfam family "Bacterial small subunit ribosomal RNA", at positions 1 to 903 of the family's 1533-position model. The record is from RNAcentral.